UCCCCAGUGCCCAUAAUACGGUCCCCUGAGCAAAUGAAGGCUCAGAAGAAUGAGGAACUUGUACCGGCUGCUUCAGGGAGGUCAGUCCAGGGCAGCUGUCUUUUGCCCCAGAAGAUUGCUAGUGACUUUUGGAGCCCAAAUUGGUCAGAUUGCCUGAGGAGGUAGACUCGGGCCAUCCUGAGAUGCCCAGCAGGCUGUUGCCACAUACCCUUUUGUGCCCAAAGCAGGUAUUACAUUCUGACCUGUAUUGUUUUUAAAACACCAACCCGCACGUUGGCUAAGGUCAACCUUGCAAAUCACCCUGAGUUCGACUCAUACCAGUGAUGGAAGCAGGGCAAACCACAUCUCUGGCUCAGCAUAGCUGUGUGCCUCUGCAUGAGGAGCACGCCCUUUCCGAUCUCAGAAUCCUUACUUGAUGAGGAGACAGUGAGUCAGACCUUGCAAAGAGGGAAGCACUGAAGACGCUACAUGUGAACGCGGCGCACAGAACCGGGGAGAUGGCAGAUGCUCAACCCGUAGCCGCGGACUUGGACCUGUUGGUCUAGAUUCCAAUUUGAUGCUUGUGAAGAAAAGCUAGGCCCAGUGGCCUGAGUGAGAACAACACAGUCCUUUGAGAGCAACAUGGCCGCUGCCAGUCACCUAGGACAAUUUGUGACAAAGUGGGAGCCACCUGGAAGAACCAUGCCAUGGAUGUCACACACGUCCCAGUGUGAGGGCAGAUCAAGAGACGCCUGCAUUAGCUGCCACUCACACCAGCUAGGAUGAGUUCUACUGCCCAGUUCCUGAAAUGGAGUGCCUGAUGCAAAAAAUGGAAACUUCAUAUGGUCAAGUUGCGGGCAGAAAGUUACCAUAGCUGGCUGGGCCUUGGAUGAGAAGGAUGCUGGUAAAAAAUGAGUUUUCUGGAUUUCUGUCCUGGGGUAGUAGGAUUCGUAAAUCUGGGGACAUUUUUAAAUAGCAAGGAGAAAAAUGCAGAGCACUACCACCUACAAGGAGUAGACCUUGGAAACCACAGAUAACACCAAAACCUAUUUUUGUUCCUAUUUACAUACAUCCAUGGCUAAGUUUUUUAGUUCAUAAAGAACAGUAAGAGACAAACAACAGUGGGUAAUAAUAAAAUACAACCACAGUCA
Non-coding RNA from Peromyscus maniculatus bairdii (prairie deer mouse), 1130 nucleotides. The record is from RefSeq and is a predicted model, not a curated record. NCBI's taxonomy places the organism in Eukaryota, Metazoa, Chordata, Mammalia, Rodentia, Cricetidae.